CAGGUGUCCGAGGCACAGGCGGUGUCGCCGGCGGUUGCCGCUGAGGACAGUGACGAAGCUGCAGGUGGCCAAGGCAGAGGCAUUGUCGCCGGCGGUUGCCGCCGAGCGCGGCGACGAAGCUGCAGGUGGCCCAGCCAACCGGCUCAGCUCUUCUCAGACGGUGUCCCGGGCCAACAGGCUGACCAUGGUUGGCGGCGGAGUUAGAGCGGCGGAAGUUGCGGAAUGCACCGUUGCCCAGCAGCUGCACGCCUAGCUGCAGCACCGCCUCCUCCUGCCGCAAAUUGGGUUGAGUGGCCUUACGUCCAUGGUCAUCAUCAAACCUCCAUGGUUAUCAGUCUUGUCACGGCGUCGAAGUCUGAUGGAUGACGGCUGUUUCCCUGCAGAGUUUCAACGCUGGCGGUGAUGCAGCGUGCAGAAUGCAGCAUACAGCGAUGAGGCCGUGCCGCUAAAAUCCGAGCAUAUGACUUAGUGUUGACAAAGGGAUUCUUGAUGCUGUUCCUGUAUUGGAAAUCUGAUUUUACAAGUAAAGCUCAAGAGUGGGUUUUAGGUUUCGGUGGAGAUGUUGGAGCAUAAACUCCCUGUUUGUAUGUGGAAAGCAUAUCAUUAGACAAUGUUGUGUCACCUGACCUUUCUGAUAUGUACAUCCGCAAUCUAGCACAGAAGGGUCAAUGGUCCUCCUCCUGAAGAAAGCUCGUUUGUUGCUGCCGCAAGAGCUAGCAUACCACCACCUAGGCAGAGGGUCACUACCGCUACAGUAAGAGGGAGGAGAGGAAGGGCAAGCACAAGUUCUAAUGCCACAUGAAGAUCUACAGGAAAUGUGCAAGGAAGAGGAAAAACUACAGGAAAUGUUGAUGCAGCUGAAGUUCUAUUUACUACCAUGUUGUCCGUUUAAAUGCACCAGUUACGCAGACUGCUGCCAAUUUGCUUGAUUAUCUUUUUGUUACAGCCGUUAGGAUGCUAUCAAUUUUAGAGUCACCACAUUACUGUCAUUUGUUCUCAUUAUUCCAGAAAUAAGAAUGCAUCUGUACUUGUCAUUUUACCUUGACAUUGGCUUGUAAUUUUACUGGACCAGCGUGUAAUCUCCUUUUCAGAUUAACAUAUUGCCAUUA
Molecule: long non-coding RNA, 1109 nt
Organism: Lolium rigidum
Lineage: Eukaryota; Viridiplantae; Streptophyta; Magnoliopsida; Poales; Poaceae
Exons: 3
Source: RefSeq, a predicted model, not a curated record